AUGUUGGCUUAGAAGCAGCCAUCAUUUAAAGAAAGCGUAAUAGCUCACUGGUCGAGUCGGCCUGCGCGGAAGAUGUAACGGGGCUAAACCAUGCACCGAAGCUGCGGCAGCGAACGUAUCACUUAAAGCGAUUCAGCGGGUUACGAUUGACGGAGCGAAGCGACGUCAAAGCGUAUACAAAGUCGAGUCGGUUUAAGGAUACGUUCGUUGGGUAGGGGAGCGUUCUGUAAGCCUGUGAAGGUGGCCUGUGAGGGUUGCUGGAGGUAUCAGAAGUGCGAAUGCUGACAUAAGUAACGAUAAAGCGGGUGAAAAGCCCGCUCGCCGGAAGACCAAGGGUUCCUGUCCAACGUUAAUCGGGGCAGGGUGAGUCGACCCCUAAGGCGAGGCCGAAAGGCGUAGUCGAUGGGAAACGGGUUAAUAUUCCCGUACUUGGUGUUACUGCGAAGGGGGGACGGAGAAGGCUAUGUUGGCCGGGCGACGGUUGUCCCGGUUUAAGCGUGUAGGUGUGUGUUCCAGGUAAAUCCGGUUCACUUUAACACUGAGGCGUGACGACGAGGCACUACGGUGCUGAAGCAACAAAUGCCCUGCUUCCAGGAAAAGCCUCUAAGCAUCAGGUAACAUCAAAUCGUACCCCAAACCGACACAGGUGGUCAGGUAGAGAAUACCAAG
Molecule: ribosomal RNA, 669 nt
Filed under: Salmonella enterica subsp. enterica serovar Corvallis
Lineage: Bacteria; Pseudomonadati; Pseudomonadota; Gammaproteobacteria; Enterobacterales; Enterobacteriaceae
Description: partial 23S ribosomal RNA
Rfam family: Bacterial large subunit ribosomal RNA
Source: RNAcentral